RNAcentral lists this ribosomal RNA (253 nucleotides) under uncultured bacterium. Its description in RNAcentral is "partial 16S ribosomal RNA". It matches the Rfam family "Bacterial small subunit ribosomal RNA", at positions 524 to 776 of the family's 1533-position model. The record is from RNAcentral.
GACGAACCGUGCGAACGUUGUUCGGAAUCACUGGGCUUAAAGGGCGCGUAGGCGGCUUGGCAAGUCAGGGGUGAAAGCUUUCGGCUCAACCGGAAAAGUGCCCCUGAUACUGCCGAGCUCGAGGGAGGUAGGGGCGGACGGAACUUCCGGUGGAGCGGUGAAAUUCGUAGAUAUCAGGAGGAACACCGGUGGCGAAGGCGGAUCUCUGGGCCAUUACUGACGCUGAGGAGCGAAAGCGUGGGGAGCGAACAGG